CGGACGGGUGAGUACCACGUGGGUUAUCUGCCUUUGGGUGAGGAAUACCGGCGAGAAAUCGCCGACAAUACCGCAUAGCUUUGGAAACAAAGAAAGCUUCGCAAGAGGCGCCCGAGGAGGAGCCUGCGCCCGAUUAGUUAGUUGGUGGGGUAAUGGCCUACCAAGACGACGAUCGGUAGCUGGUCUGAGAGGAUGAUCAGCCACACUGGGAUUGAGAACGGCCCAG
Molecule: ribosomal RNA, 226 nt
Filed under: uncultured bacterium
Lineage: Bacteria
Description: partial 16S ribosomal RNA
Rfam family: Bacterial small subunit ribosomal RNA
Source: RNAcentral